ACCUGGCUGGCUCAGUCUGAAAAGCAUGUGACUCUUGAUCUCAGGGUCAUGAGUUUGAGCCCCAUGCUGGGUG
This 73-nucleotide transfer RNA is filed under the name Felis catus (domestic cat). It matches the Rfam family "tRNA". Rfam says of the family: Transfer RNA (tRNA) molecules are approximately 80 nucleotides in length. Their secondary structure includes four short double-helical elements and three loops (D, anti-codon, and T loops). Lineage: Eukaryota; Metazoa; Chordata; Mammalia; Carnivora; Felidae. The record is from Rfam by way of RNAcentral.